GAUGAAGAACGUAGCGAAAUGCGAUAAGUAGUGUGAAUUGCAGAAUUCAGUGAAUCAUCGAAUCUUUGAACGCACAUUGCGCCCCUUGGUAUUCCAUGGGGCAUGCCUGUUCGAGCGUCAUUUGUACCUUCAAGCUUUGCUUGGUGUUGGGUGGUUGUCUCGCCUUUGCGUGUAGACUCGCCUUAAAAUAAUUGGCAGCCGGCGUAUUGAUUUCGGAGCGCAGUACAUCUCGCGCUUUGCACUCAUAACGACAGCGUCCAAAAGUACAUUUUACACUCUUGACCUCGGAUCAGGUAGGGAUACCCGCUGAACUUAAGCAUAUCAAUAAGCGGAGGA
This 336-nucleotide unclassified non-coding RNA is filed under the name soil metagenome. Its description in RNAcentral is "partial contains 5.8S ribosomal RNA, internal transcribed spacer 2, and large subunit ribosomal RNA". The stretch from base 1 to 120 matches the Rfam family "5.8S ribosomal RNA", at positions 35 to 154 of the family's 154-position model. The record is from RNAcentral.